Molecule: RNA transcript, 4835 nt
Organism: Balaenoptera ricei (Rice's whale)
Lineage: Eukaryota; Metazoa; Chordata; Mammalia; Artiodactyla; Balaenopteridae
Gene: SETD4
Gene name: SET domain containing 4
Exons: 20
Source: RefSeq, a predicted model, not a curated record
AACCUGCUCCUGCCAGAGCUUUCCAUAUAUUUUAAUUUUGGGGGGGUCAAAAAGAGAGCUGAGUUCGGAUGGCCUACCCCCGCCAGGCCUGGCAUGAUGCUGCUCAUUACAGUACCCACCUACCCCCACCCCCCGUUAUCUGGGAAUCGUUCAUUUAGCGAAUGUCGACCCGAGAAGCCGCUGUGCAGGCGCGAAGGACCCUAAGGUACAAACAACAGUGAUUAUCAUACAGCUGGAAAGAAAGGCAAAGAAAAUGCUUUUUAUUUUAGAUUGGGCAAUUAAGCAGAAACUGCAGUUUUAGUAUGAAGAACGGAGGUGGAAGAACAAGCCGAAUCAGAAGACGAAAACUCUUCACAAGUUCUGAAUCAAGAGGAGUGAAUGAGAGCUACAAGCCUGAAUUUAUAGAGCUUAAGAAGUGGCUGAAAGAUAGGAAGUUUGAAGAUACAAACUUAAUACCUGCUCGUUUUCCAGGUACAGGAAGAGGGCUGAUGAGCAAAACAUCCCUACAGGAGGGACAGAUGAUUAUCUCAUUGCCUGAGAGUUGCCUGCUCACCACGGACACAGUGCUUAGAAGCUACUUAGGGGCGUAUAUUGCCAAGUGGCAGCCUCCUCCAUCUCCUGUGCUGGCUCUUUGCGCCUUUUUAGUUUCAGAAAGGCAUGCUGGGGACCGGUCUCCCUGGAAGCCUUACCUGGAGGUUUUGCCCAAGGCCUACACCUGCCCUGUUUGUUUGGAGCCAGAAGUGGUGAAUCUUCUUCCCAAACCUUUGAAAGCAAAGGCCAGAGAGCAGAGAACCCACGUGCAGGAGUUCGUUUCUUCCUCCAGAGACUUUUUCUCUUCCCUGCAGCCUCUGUUUUCAGAGGCCGUCGAGAGCAUCUUUAGCUACAGCGCGCUCCUGUGGGCUUGGUGCACCGUGAACACCAGGGCUGUGUACAGGAAGCGUGCGCCGAGGCAGUGCUUUUCCGCAGAGCCAGACACCUGCGCGCUCGCCCCGUUCCUCGAUCUGCUGAACCACAGCCCCGACGCCCAGGUAAAAGCAGCGUUUAAUGAGGAAACUCGCUGUUAUGAAAUUAGAACAGCUGUGAGCUGUGGAAAACACAAAGAGGUGCUCAUCUGCUAUGGCCCUCACGAUAACCACCGCCUGCUCCUCGAGUAUGGAUUUGUUUCCAUCCGCAAUCCUCAUGCUUGUGUUUAUGUCUCAAAAGAUGUACUUGUUAAAUAUCUUCCAUCAACAGAUAAACGGAUGAACCAAAAGAUUUCCAUUUUAGAGGAUCAUGACUUUAUAGAAAACUUGACGUUUGGAUGGGAUGGACCGUCUUGGCGGUUACUCACAGCUCUUAAGUUGUUAUGUCUGGAAGCUGAAGAAUUGACAUGCUGGAAAAAAGUACUUAUUGGGGAAAUAAUUUCAGAUACAAAUGAGAAGACAAGUUUGGACAUAGCCCAGAAAAUAUGCCAUUAUUUCAUCAAGGAGAGUAAGGCUGUGCUUCAAAAGAUUUCUCAUAUGAAAGAUGAAGAAGUGGCUUUGAUAAACCAACUAACUUUGGUAGAAACACUGUGGACAGAAGAGCUGAAGAUUCUCCAGGCCUCUGCUGAGACCUUAACCAGUUUGCAGACAGCUUUUACGUAACUUCACCGAAGUGCAGGUGAUCACCUCCAAUGGAUGUUUAUUCUUCUGGAUAAAAAUACGACUAAGGAUGGUGGCGGCCAUCCUUGGGAUGCUGGGAUGCCCUCUCACGCGGGCUGCAUUGGAGGCUACGUGCUUCUCUGGUGCAGGACAUCAUGUAACCAGCAAAUGAGAAUCGUCUGAUCAAACUGAGUCCCAGAGAGCAGAAACGAUGCACCUGAGGGCCAGGAAGUGAAUGGUGACAGGUCUCCCAACCCGUGAUUUUUUUCCCAUGCUGUAGCUGGGAGCCUGUACUGGCCCACAGGAACCAGACUUCUUUAUCACCAGUAGACCCUCCUUCGGUACAUGAGAGCAUGUUUGGCCAAGGUUGACGGACUGGAAAGCAGGAUCCAGUGGCUCACCUACAGAAGGAGAUGGAGAAGGAGGAAAUACUAAGCCAUGAAGAUCAUUGAUAUUUCCUGAAGUUAUAUUGCUAUUUCCUGUCUGAAGAGCUGUGAGUGUAUGUCUCUAGAACACUGCUCCUAAAAUCCUACGGUGACAUCAGGAUCUGAACACGGAUGGCUUUGAUGACAUUUGAAGGUCCCUGCCAUUUGUAACCUUCCAUGAUUGUUGGGAAAUCACUGGGGAGAAGAGGAUGUCACGUAAGGUGUUUUUCCAUGUUGGAGUUAGGAUUCGAGCCCAGGGCUACCCCAUUAUAAGGCCCAUGAUGCUGCCAGGACCACUGGAGUGGAGAUUCCUGUGGACGCAGCCAGCAGAAGGGACUGCGGAACCAGACAGUGGGAAGAGGGAGAUCAGACUGUGUACUAUGCGGUGGAGUAAACCCACGCCGGUGAAGCCAGAGCAGCUGCGGCUUGCCGUGUCCUUUCACUGCUAACUGUCAUCUGCACUCCGGACUUUUGGGCAGAUGGAGACCCUGACAGAAGCCCAGAGAAAUUAAGCAACAUACCCUCCUUCUGACAAGCUUUCCAGAACCUUGAAUUCCCAGAGUUAAGUAUGGUGACUCGAAGAAACUUGGAGGUGGGGAAAAUGAGACUCAGAGAAAUUAAGCAGUUUGAUGAACCACACUAGAUUCCCUGUGAAUAAGACCAGAGUAGUCUGUUGGAGGAUGAACAACCACAUGGAACCAAGAUGCCAGUGAUGGGCCUGCAUGAAUCCUGUACCAUCACCUUCACUAAAGUUUCUCUCCCUUGAAGCCCUCUGUAGAACAAGACACAUCUCAAAGCUUCUCUCUGAUUCUUCUGCUUCUCAAGGAAAUGACCUGGAAGUUUUCUGUAACAAGAUUGUACUGAAUAGUGUUUCCCCAAAAUUCAUGACUACCUGGAACCUCCAAGUGUGACCUUAUUUGGAAAUGGGGUCUUUGCAGAUAUAAUUAGUUAAGAAGAGGUGAUACUGGAGUAGGGUGGCCCUUAGAUUCAGUGACUGGUGUCCUUAUAAGAAGAGAAGAGACACCUGCAGAGACAGAGGGAAGAAGGCCAUGUGAAGAUGAGGCAGAGAUUGGAGUGAUGCUGCUAUAAGUUGAGGAGUAUCUAAAGCCACCAGAAGCUGCAAGAGGAAAGGAAGGAUUCUUUUCUAGAGCUUUCACAGGGAGCGUGGCCCUCCUAACAUCUUGAUUUUGGACUUCCAGCAUCCAGAACUAUGGAAGAAUAAGUUUCUGUCAUUUAAGGCCCUCCAUUUUUGGUUAUCUGCUAUGGAAGCCCCUGGAAACAAACACCAAGAGGUUUUAGUGGGGCUUUUCAGUUGCCCACCCUGCCUAUUACCAGCCCCCACCCAGCACCUCUUCCCAGUGUUUCUAAUAAAGCUGGGAGGGGAGAAGGAGGACAUUGGAGUAAGAGACGUCCCUCUCAACAUGAAGACAAGCGAGACAACCCAGGGAAAUACUAAAAGAUUGGAGGUGCCCGAAAGAAAGGGAGACUUGCCUUCCCCCGCUGGACAUUGGCUUAAGAAGUGGACUUGCCGAUUUGCCUCUCUGAGAGACAUGGGAGGGGAGGCAGCCUGGACAGAGGGUGGGCGUGAAGCAGGCUGAGUUUCUUGUGAGUCAUGUAGACAUCCCAGAAAGAAAGCUGAGCUUGAACCAUCUUGCUGGUACCCAGCUAAGAGAAGUGUCCAUCAGGCACAGGAAUCCUAGUAGUAAGAGGCUUUGGGAUUUUCCCCUGAUGUAGGGAACAAUGGGGCAGGGAUGAAAGAGGUCAACCCAGGACCAGGUUCUGAAUGUCAGGGAAUUGUGCAGUAGGUGGGGGCAGAGAAGGGAGCUGACAGAGCCCUCAGAGCUCAUACAUGCACCCCACAAGACAGCCAGCAUUUGGAUGCUGCCAUUCAGAGGAAUCAUAAGCCAGGCAGCCAGCAGAGCUUCAAGAACCACCCAAGAGAGGAUGCCAGUAGCGACCACUUAAGUGAAUAGGCCUGUGUCCCUUUCUCGUGCCUCCUCGCUGCCCCAUCCACUGAGAGAGCUCAGGCAGCAGGGUGUGGGCAUUGUAGAAGCAGAUCUCACCCACCCUUCAGCAUUUAAGGUCCCAGCUCAAGUCCGCAUAGAGGGAAGGAGGACAUGGGAUUUACAUCAAGAUUGAGAUUGAAGCUUUGGAAUGCACCAGUGACUGGGAAGGUGUGGAAUCUGCCCAAGAUACUGUUAAGGGGUGUUCAAAGGAUGAUUCAGCAGAGCAAAGUGAGAAGGGCAGUGUUUAGAAGAAAUAAAAGCAUGUUGUGUUUGUAACCCCAUGUUCUGAGACUCCUUAGUAAACUGGUUACAGUCUCAAGAGUUUUUGCUUUAUUUAUGUAUUUACUCACGUGAUAGGGACACGACCAGCAGUGAAUGGACUCGUCUGCUUUUCCUCUUCUCAUUUUCAUCUGCAAGCCUGUUGGGAAAGGGACAGAAUCAUUGGUGUUUCCCCUCAAGACUCUUAGUUCUUUGAGACCAAGAACUUGGGCUUGUUUCUCUGUCUACCUUGCAGUUGUCAGAUGAGCCCAGUGAGUCCCAGUUGAGGAAUUCAGGAAUGGAUCAAAGAAUAAAUUGAGAAUAAAGACUGAGAAUAAGGACGUAAGACACCUCACCUACAUUUCAAAAGGACCCUCCAACCCCGCUUUCUAGGCAUUUUACCUCAGGAGUCAGCAUCACCGUUCCGGUGUGGAGGAUGGGAAGGCAGUAGAGUGACGAUACCAUUCUGUGGAAGACGGGGGGCUUGGGGGGCUGAGGUUCCCUCAUCCCAAGUGAAUGCCAAU